This 406-nucleotide ribosomal RNA is filed under the name uncultured bacterium. RNAcentral's name for it is "bacterial SSU rRNA". It matches the Rfam family "Bacterial small subunit ribosomal RNA", at positions 356 to 773 of the family's 1533-position model. The record is from RNAcentral.
GGGGAAUUUUGCACAAUGGGCGAAAGCCUGAUGCAGCGACGCCGCGUGCGGGAUGAAGGCCUUCGGGUUGUAAACCGCUUUCAGCAGGGACGAGGCCGCAAGGUGACGGUACCUGCAGAAGAAGCCCCGGCUAACUACGUGCCAGCAGCCGCGGUAAUACGUAGGGGGCAAGCGUUAUCCGGAUUCAUUGGGCGUAAAGAGCUCGUAGGCGGCCCGUUAGGUCAGGAGUCAAAUUCGGGGGCUCAACCCCCGCGCGCUUCUGAUACCGGCGGGCUUGAGUUUGGUAGGGGAAGGUGGAAUUCCCAGUGUAGCGGUGGAAUGCGCAGAUAUUGGGAAGAACACCGGUGGCGAAGGCGGCCUUCUGGGCCAUAACUGACGCUGAGGAGCGAAAGCUAGGGGAGCGAAC